Molecule: long non-coding RNA, 393 nt
Filed under: Cicer arietinum (chickpea)
Lineage: Eukaryota; Viridiplantae; Streptophyta; Magnoliopsida; Fabales; Fabaceae
Description: long non-coding RNA (CARI_LNC002765)
Source: RNAcentral
ACUCGUAGAGUAUUAGUACAACUAUCAAUUAUAACAACUUUUCUUUAGAAGAAAGUAAUUAAUGUACAAUAUAUAUAAUAACAAACAAAAAACAUACAUACUAAUAUUAAUUAAUCUUAGGAACAAAUAAGCAUUAUGAUACAUCUUCUAAGUAUAUAAAACCUUCCUCUACCUUCUUUAAGAAGAGCACCCAUUCUUUUUCCCAUUAUUCUUCUUUUAGAUAAUCUAAUAGUCUCACUUUCUAUCUUCAUCUUUUGAUCUCCAUGUACCAACUUGGAAUUUUGCUUGUUUCCUCUUUGCUCCAUAUAGUGCAUUUUAUAGGGAAUUUAUGUUUCUCUCUUUAUGCUCUCUAUCACUUUUUUGGGGUGCUUUGUAGUUUCAACUUGAGGUGAU